Pedobacter africanus is the source of this 129-nucleotide ribosomal RNA. It matches the Rfam family "Bacterial large subunit ribosomal RNA", at positions 2783 to 2925 of the family's 2925-position model. The record is from Rfam. Lineage: Bacteria; Pseudomonadati; Bacteroidota; Sphingobacteriia; Sphingobacteriales; Sphingobacteriaceae.
AAGUGCGAAACUAGCCACGAGAUGAGAAUUCCAUAUAGGACCGUAGCAGACUACUACGUUGAUAGGUUACAGAUGUAAAGGUGGUGACAUCAAAGUCGAGUAAUACUAAUCAUCCGAAGCUUUCAAAAG